AACAUGUCUUUAUGAGAGUCAGUAUAAAGUCUAGCCUGCCCACUGAGUUUUUGAAGGGCUGCGGUAAUUUGACCGUGCAAAGGUAGCAUAAUCAGUAGUCUUUUAAUUGAAGGCUGGAAUGAACGGCUGGAUGAGGGAAAAGCUGUCUUUUUUACAAAUUAGAAUUUGACCUCUAAGUGAAAAGGCUUAGAUGCAGUAGUGGGACGAUAAGACCCUAUAAAACUUUAUAUGAAUUGAGAUUAUUUGUCAAAAUUUUAAUUAAAAUUUAAAAGAUCUUAUUUAUAUUUUGUUGGGGAGACAUUGAUAUAAUUUGUAACUGUCUAGUUGAAAAAUAUAGUUAUUGCUAGAAUUUGAUCCCUCUAUGAGGAUAAAAAGAAUAAGUUACUUUAGGGAUAACAGCGUGAUUUUUUCUGAGAGUUCUUAUCGAAGAAAUUAGUUGCGACCUCGAUGUUGAAUUAAAAUUUCUAGUAGGUGUAGCCGUUUACUAAGUAGGUCUGUUCGACCUUUAAAAUUUUACAUGAUUUGAGUUCAAACCGGUGUAAGCCA
This 546-nucleotide ribosomal RNA is filed under the name Palaemon atrinubes. RNAcentral describes it as "partial 16S ribosomal RNA". It matches the Rfam family "Bacterial large subunit ribosomal RNA", at positions 1812 to 2628 of the family's 2925-position model. Lineage: Eukaryota; Metazoa; Arthropoda; Malacostraca; Decapoda; Palaemonidae. The record is from RNAcentral.